CCCUUAGAUGUUCUGAACCGCACGCGUGUUACAAUGAUGUGUUCAACGAGUAUAUAACCUUGACCGAGAGGUCUGGGAAAUCUUUUUAAUGCACAUCGUGUUAGGGAUAGAUUAUUGCAAUUUUUAAUCUUGAACGAGGAAUUCCUAGUAAACGCAGAUCAUCAAUCUGCAUUGAUUACGUCCCUGCCCUUUGUACACACCGCCCGUCGCACCUACCGAUUGAGUGAUCCGGUGAGGUCUCGGGAUUGUAGUCAGUUUCCUUUAUUGGGAGUUGACCGCGAGAACUUGCCCGAACCUUAUCACUUAGAGGAAGGUGAAGUCGUAACA
Molecule: ribosomal RNA, 327 nt
Filed under: uncultured eukaryote
Lineage: Eukaryota
Description: partial 18S ribosomal RNA
Rfam family: Eukaryotic small subunit ribosomal RNA
Source: RNAcentral